GACGAACGCUGGCGGCGUGCCUAACACAUGCAAGUCGAACGGAAAGGCCCUGCUUUCGCGUGGUGCUCGAGUGGCGAACGGGUGAGAAACACGUGAGUAAGCUGCCCUUGACUGUGUGAUAACUUCAGGAAACUGCGGCUAAUACAGGCUAGGAGCUCCUGCUGCAUGGUGGUGGUUGGAAAGUUUCGGCGGUGGGGGAUGGACUCGCGGCUUAUCAGCUUGUUGGUGGGGUAGUGGCUUACCAAGGCAUCGGCGGGUAGCCGGCCUGAGAGGGUGACCGGCCACAUUGGGACUGAGGUGCGGCCCAGACUGCAACGGUAGGCAGCGGUGGGGAAUAUUGCACAGUGGGCGGAAGCCUGAUGCAGCGACGCCGCGUGCGGGAUGACGGCCUUCGGGUUGUAAACCGCUUUCGCCUGUGACGAAGCGUGAGUGACGGUAAUGGGUAAAGAAGCACCGGCUAACUACGUG
RNAcentral lists this ribosomal RNA (468 nucleotides) under uncultured bacterium. RNAcentral describes it as "partial 16S ribosomal RNA". It matches the Rfam family "Bacterial small subunit ribosomal RNA", at positions 28 to 507 of the family's 1533-position model. The record is from RNAcentral.